This 484-nucleotide ribosomal RNA is filed under the name uncultured bacterium. RNAcentral's name for it is "partial 16S ribosomal RNA". It matches the Rfam family "Bacterial small subunit ribosomal RNA", at positions 30 to 507 of the family's 1533-position model. The record is from RNAcentral.
AUUGAACGCUGGCGGCAUGCCUAACACAUGCAAGUCGAGCGGAUGAAGGGAGCUUGCUCCUGUAUUCAGCGGCGGACGGGUGAGUAAUGCCUAGGAAUCUGCCUUGUAGUGGGGGAUAACGUCCGUAAACGGGCGCUAAUACCGCAUACGUCCUUAUGUAGAAAGUGGGGGAUCUUCGGACCUCACGCUUUCUGAUGAGCCUAGGUCGGAUUAGCUAGUUGGUGGGGUAAAGGCCUACCAAGGCGACGAUCCGUAACUGGUCUGAGAGGAUGAUCAGUCACACUGGAACUGAGACACGGUCCAGACUCCUACGGGAGGCAGCAGUGGGGAAUAUUGCGCAAUGGGCGAAAGCCUGAUCCAGCCAUGCCGCGUGAGUGAAGAAGGUCUUCGGAUUGUAAAGCACUUUAAGUUGGGAGGAAGGAAAGUGAGUUUAUACCUGGCUGUUUUGACGUUACCAACAGAAUAAGCACCGGCUAACUUCGUG